This 406-nucleotide ribosomal RNA is filed under the name uncultured bacterium. RNAcentral's name for it is "partial 16S ribosomal RNA". It matches the Rfam family "Bacterial small subunit ribosomal RNA", at positions 29 to 526 of the family's 1533-position model. The record is from RNAcentral.
AAUGAACGCUGGCGGCAGGCCUAACACAUGCAAGUCGAACGAGGCGCGGACGGGUGAGAAACGUCUGGGAACCUGCUCGAUGGAGGGGGAAAACUACGGGAACCGGUAGCUAAUACCGCAUACCUUCAGAUUUGACCAGAUGGGAUUAGCUAGUAGGUGGGGUAACGGCUCACCUAGGCCACGAUCCCUAGCUGGUCUGAGAGGAUGACCGGCCACACUGGAACUGAGACACGGUCCAGACUCCUACGGGAGGCAGCAGUGGGGAAUAUUGCGCAAUGGGCGAAAGCCUGAUGCAGCCAUGCCGCGUGUGUGAAGAAGGCCUUCGGGUUGUAAAGCACUGUCAGCGGGGAGGCGUUACCCGAAGAAGAAGCACCGGCUAACUCCGUGCCAGCAGCCGCGGUAAUUC